This 853-nucleotide ribosomal RNA is filed under the name uncultured bacterium. RNAcentral describes it as "bacterial SSU rRNA". It matches the Rfam family "Bacterial small subunit ribosomal RNA", at positions 21 to 902 of the family's 1533-position model. The record is from RNAcentral.
GGCUCAGAGCGAACGCUAGCGGCGGGCCUAACACAUGCAAGUCGAGCGGGGAGCAAUCCCAGCGGCGAACGGGUGAGUAACACGUAGGUAAUGUACCUUCUGGUGGGGAAUAACCGUGGGAAACCAUGGCUAAUACCGCAUAUUGUGCGCAAGCAUGAAAGCCUUCGGGCGCCAGUCGAGCAGCCUGCGUCCCAUUAUUUAGUCCUAGUUGGUAGGGUAAUGGCCUACCAAGGGUACGAUGGGUAGCUGGUCUGAGAGGAUGAUCAGCCACACUGGAACUGAGACACGGUCCAGACUCCUACGGGAGGCAGCAGUGGGGAAUAUUGCGCAAUGGGCGAAAGCCUGACGCAGCCACGCCGCGUGAGUGAUGAAGGCCUUCGGGUUGUAAAGCUCUGUCGGGAGGGACGAAAGCGAAAGCUUGACGGUACCUCGCAAGAAAGCACCGGCUAACUCUGUGCCAGCAGCCGCGGUAAUACAGAGGGUGCAAGCGUUGCUCGGAUUUACUGGGCGUAAAGCGUACGCAGACGGUGAGGAAGGUCGGAUGUGAAAGCCCUGGGCUCAACCCAGGAACUGCAUCCGAAACCCCCUCGCUCGAGUAUAGGAGAGGGAAGCGGAAUUCCUGGUGUAGAGGUGAAAUUCGUAGAUAUCAGGAGGAACAUCUGCGGCGAAGGCGGCUUCCUGGCCUAUUACUGACGUUCAGGUACGAAAGCGUGGGUAGCAAACAGGAUUAGAUACCCUGGUAGUCCACGCCGUAAACGAUGAGUGCUGGAUGUCGGGGGUAUUCACCCCCUCGGUAUCGAAGCCAACGCGAUAAGCACUCCGCCUGGGGAGUACGGCCGCAAGGUUGAAACUC